RNA transcript from Crotalus tigris (Tiger rattlesnake), 2647 nucleotides. It is a transcript of the gene named RNA-binding protein 4-like, with no coding region annotated. The transcript has 6 exons. The record is from RefSeq and is a predicted model, not a curated record. NCBI's taxonomy places the organism in Eukaryota, Metazoa, Chordata, Lepidosauria, Squamata, Viperidae.
ACGUGAGCCAGAAAAAGCAGGCCAACAUGGCGCAGUCCUAGCCAGCUUCAUCGUCGCCCAAGCCCGGCCGGGAGGUUAAGGCAGAGGGAGAGGAAGAAAAAAAAAGAAGAAGAAGAAGAAAGGAAGAGAAAAAGGGAGGAGGAGGAGGAAAAGGUGGGGGUCGUUGCAUUGCACGAAGCAGGCGCAGGCAGGAAUCCGGCCCGGGAUUCCUGGCAGGUGGGGCCCCCAGAAUCAUCAUGGUGAAGAUCUUUGUUGGGGGGCUUUCUCCUGUGGUCACAGCCGAAGAGCUGCGAAAGCUGUUUGAGCAGUACGGCCAAGUGAACGAGUGCGACAUUUUGAAGAAUUUUGCCUUCGUCCACAUGGAGAAGGAGGACGAGGCCCACCAGGCCAUCAGCACGUUGCACAAGAGCGAAUUCUACGGGACGCACUUGACUGUGGAGUACGCCACCUCCAAGAUCCGCAACGCCACCAAGAUCUACGUGGGGAACGUCUCGGCCAAAGCCACCACCGCCCAAAUCCGCCAACUCUUCGAGCGCUUCGGCAAAGUGGUGGAGUGCGACAUUGUCAAGAACUUCGCCUUUGUCCACAUGGCCAAAGAGCGGGAAGCCAUGGAUGCCAUCUUGCAUCUCAACGACACUCCGCUGGAGGAUCAGAAAAUUUUUGUCACCCUUUCCAAGAGCAACAGUUCCCUCCGGGCCACGAAAGGGGCCUCUGUGCCCACCCCGCCCACCCCGACGCCCAGCUACUACUUCUCCAGGGGACGCGUGCCCGCUGCACCGGCCACCUAUUCGCCCUACUGUGCCCGUGCCUGGUAUGAUCGGGAGUAUUGUGAUCAGUACGCAUACGAGCUCUACGACCGCGCACGAGCAGCGUAUGACCGAGCCCUCCCCUCUGCUCCAGCAACUGCUUACAGAGAAAGGAGCCCCGUGGGGCGGAGGACAUCUACCCCCACUGCUGUAGUGGCCCAAUAUGCUGACCCCUAUACUGCAGCGGCCGCUGCUGCGGCUGCGGCCGCCGCAACUGCUGCAGCAAACCAGACGUACAGCCAAGCCUACAGCCAACCCGGGUACGCAGCUGCUGCGGCAGCUGCAACGUACUCUCAGUACAGUCUCGGAACCGCCUACAAUGUGGCAGAGUACUAUGAGAGGUACGCAAGCGCUUACGCUGCCCAGUACGCCCAGACAUUCUGAGGGCGCUGCACCCUUCCAACUGCUCUUCCUGGGCAGACUCGGAGCGAUGUCUCCCGGCCGAUCAGCCGAGCACUGACUUCCAAGAUUCUCCUCCUCCUUUCCCCAAAUCCUGCCUCCAUCCCCACCCAGCAAGUUAAAAGGAUCCGAACUGAUAACUGAGGGAUGCCUACCUCGCAGGGGGGAUUUGAAUCCAGCGCUCCUGGGGCAGAGACUCUCCGGCGAUCUGCACAUCCCUCCCCAAAAGAGGAACGGAAUGCGAGACAGAAAACCUGGCCUCUGCUAAGAAGACUUGGCCAUGAAAAACAGGAUGUAAACAAAGCAGUGAUUUUUCUUUGGGUAAAUAUGUACAAACCCAUGGUCCAUCACGACACAGACAUUUCAACUGGCUAGUAUGAUUGCAACAAGGACUACAAUAUCUUCAAAAAUCUCCCGAAGUCUUCCUGCAAAGAUGAAAAUUGAUGAAAUUACUAAUCGUAAUUUGUUAAAAAUUCACUGAAAAGUUUUGGCGGGCUUAAAUAGCCAUCUUCUCCAACUGAGUGCCAUCAAAUAUGCUGAGCCUGGAACUUUCAAGGAGUUGUGUGAAUCCAAUACUUGGAGUGCAAAAGGUACAAGUAAAUACAAAGUUUAUGAUAACGUUGUUUAGCAAUUGGAGUUCCAGUCCCAAUUUAUGGUUAUGAGUCCAAGAAAAUCCAUAGAUGAAAAGCGUGUGAAAGGCACCCAAGGAACCUUAUUAAGAGCACUUGAGCUACUUGAUCUUUUAGCCUAAAAUUUGGUGACAGACCCACCUGGGUCACACCACCAUAAAUGAACUGGACAAGCUGGAUUUGCACAAUCUGUUAAACUGUAAAGGAAAAACAACUAAACAUAAAAUUAACCGAAUUUAGUGUCUUAUGCAGAUGAAGCAGAGAUUCAACGCUUCUAUGAGCCUAUAUAGGCAGUCCUUGACUUACAACGGUCCAUUUAAUGACUGUUUGAAAUUACAACAGCAGUGAAAAAAGUGACUUACGACAGUUUUCACAUUUAUGACCGUUGCCGCAUCCCCACGGUCACGUGAUCAAAAUUCGGAGACUUGGCAACUGACAUGUACUUAUGACGGUCGCAGUGACCCGGGAUCACGUGUUCCCCUUUUACAAUCUUCUGACAAGUAAAGUCAAUGGAGCAAGAUUCGCUGAACAGCCAUGUUACUACCUUAACAACUAUAAUGAUCCAUUUAAGAAGUCAUAAAAUGAAUAAUAGACCAACCCAUAGACUGGAAACCAGAGAUCUUUUUGUUGGGUAUUUUAAACAGAAAAUAUAGUAAAGAAAUAUGGUACUUAAUUUUACAUAUAAUAACGGCGACAAGAAUAGCAUAUGCUCAGUGCUGAAAAAAUGAGAAUACACCAUCAGAGGAAGAAGUAAUAAGAAAAAUCCUGGACUGUGCUGAGAUGGACAAAUUAACAAAAGAGGUAAAAGAAAAG